CUCCAGACUCCUACGGGAGGCAGCAGUGGGGAAUAUUGCACAAUGGGGGAAACCCUGAUGCAGCGACGCCGCGUGAGUGAAGAAGCGCCUCGGCGCGUAAAGCUCUGUCAGCAGGAACGAUAAUGACGGUACCUGAAGAAGAAGCCCCGGCUAACUACGUGCCAGCAGCCGCGGUAAUACGUAGGGGGCAAGCGUUAUCCGGAUUUAUUGGGUUUAAAGGGUGCGCAGGCGGCCUGUUAAGUCAGCGGUAAAGGCCGGGGGCUCACCCCCGGCGAGCCGUUGAAACUGGCGGGCUGGAGUUGGAGAGAAGUACGCGGAAUGCGCGGUGUAGCGGUGAAAUGCUUAGAUAUCACGCAGAACUCCGAUUGCGAAGGCAGCGUACCGGCGCCCAACUGACGCUCAUGCACGAAAGCGUGGGUAUCGAACAGGAUUAGAUACCCUAGUA
RNAcentral lists this ribosomal RNA (445 nucleotides) under uncultured bacterium. RNAcentral describes it as "bacterial SSU rRNA". It matches the Rfam family "Bacterial small subunit ribosomal RNA", at positions 329 to 792 of the family's 1533-position model. The record is from RNAcentral.